Anolis carolinensis (green anole) is the source of this 10625-nucleotide long non-coding RNA. RefSeq lists it as uncharacterized. Lineage: Eukaryota; Metazoa; Chordata; Lepidosauria; Squamata; Anolidae. The transcript has 4 exons. The record is from RefSeq and is a predicted model, not a curated record.
CCCCCCAGAAUUCUUUCAGGUUUUUUUUUAAACUGGUUUACUCAUGAAUUUUAAAUAGUUAACCAAAUCCCCAUGAAUGUCCACUGAGGUUUAUCUAUGGAGCCUGAUUUCUAAAUUAUUUUGUGUUAUGGAACUACUCUUCAUGAUUAGCUAAAAACAGGUUUAAACCCCCCCCCCCAUUUUUUUCUGGCUAUGGUUCUGACAACAAUUGAUAACAGUAGCCGAGCCCAGUAGAUAUGGUCAGAGCUAAAAAGCCAGGCUGAUGCUUGAGCUAUAUACUCCAGGGAUGAGGCUGGUGAUAAAGUGCAAAAGGCUAGAUAUUAAAUAGGGCUUGAAGGCCAAGUCAAAAUGUAAACUGAUUAGUGAAAUGCACAUUUUCAAAUCUUUACGGAAGGUGGCCAGGGUGGAUCCCUUUCCUCGCCAGUCAUUUUUAGAUAUGAAAACUUCAUUCCUCUGCCCUGAUAUGCAAAUCAAUUGAAAUGGUGUUUCCCACAUCAACUCACAAUGGUAGAAAAAUGGAGGUUGCAUGCCUAAAAACAGCCAGAGGCAGAAGAGUCCAUCUACUGAUAAGGACUCUUGUGGCAAUGGAAUCGUUGCCUAGAGAUAGUUUCCCUCAUUUUGGUGGUUUGGUAGGACAUUCAUUUCACCUCAAAGCAGGUCAUUUUGUAUGCACAAUCCUUAUGCCUAUAAGUUAUUCCCACUGAGUCAAUUACUAAAUUAUCAACCAUCCAUUAACCCAGUGGGCAUACUCUAAAAACAUUCAGGUCACCCUCUUUAGUUGAACUGAUGGCUCUUGUUAUUGUUAUGUUACUGUUUAAAAUAUUGAAAGGAAAAGGUAUGGCUUUGAGAUAUUUUCCUAUGUAACCAAUUAUUUAUCUAGAAAAUAGCUCCAGCACCAUUUUGUCCAACCAUCCAAUACUAACAAUUCCCAAAUUAUGCAGCUGACUGCAUAAGUGGCCUGUGCUGCCCUCCUCAAUCUAAAAGCAAACGUCAAUGCUUGGAAUGUUAAUGCAAAGAAGCAUUUAAUGAAAUCAGGGCUGGGGAAAAGAAAGCACCUUGCUUCUAUGAGAAAAGAAUUAAUCAAGUCUCAUAUCCACAUUGAAAUUUCAGUGCACUGAUCGUAAAUAAUUUGAGACAGGGCUGAAAGAGAUAUGCAACUACCAGAAGAAUGCUUCUGGUAAAUACUUGAUAGAGAAGUAAGUGGGCAGUGGCUGUUUUGGUUAAAUGUUCAUUCAGUUUAUCAAUAUUUGAAGCAAAUUAUUCGGGGUGGGUAUUUGUGUGUGUGAUGUGCAAAAAGAGCACAUUGCCUAUUUUGAUGCAUAUUUUUCUUUCUGAAUAUAAUUAUCUUUGAGAGGACUCUGAGAGCAUCUUCUGCAUGCUAAGAAGCAAAAAUGGGAUUUCCUUAUAGGUAAGGCCGGAAUGGAUACAGCAUCAGAAGGGCAAAUUAAUGCCUGUCAAACAAGUAUGACUUAAGGUAAAACAUGUCUUAUCUGUAUGUACAAAGUGUGUGUAUCUGUGUGUGCUUUCUUUUACUCUUUAAUUGGAAAUCCCUUAAAGAAAACUAUCUCUGUAGCAUCUAGCAUGCUGCCAUUCUGCUCUCUGUGUGUGUAUGAGAGAAAGAGUGAGUUCUUAUUACAAAGGUCUGCUGCUAAUGGAUUGGAUAUGGUACUUUUUCAUUUUGCUAAUGAGAAAAGUUAAAGGCCAUUACAUUUUCUGAUUAAGAUCCCUGCUGGAAGAAAUGUGAUGUGUACAUUGCAGGGAUGUAAAUAAAGUUAAUAUUAAGUUAAUAAAGUUAAUGUAUGCAAAGGAAAUACACAAGAUAUCCAAUAAAUCAGAUUAAAGGUUGACAAAAAGAAAAGAAAAGAAAAACUCUUAUCCCAUGAACAGCACCAAUGAAAAAUGAUGACAGGGAAUAGAAACAGAAAAGGUCUUUGAAAGGUGAACUGUGGGUAUCAGUUAACAAUAUGUUUGUAUGAUGAUCAAUUACCAAAGCUGCUAUCUGGAAAAAUGAAAUUUUCUAAUAGGAAAUAAUGAGGUUAUAUAUCGUAAGAAAAGUGACACCUUUCAUUCAGAAUGUGUAGCACAGUAACUUCUAAGGGAAAUUCUAUAUGAUUGAAAGUGGAUAUGUUGAUAACAUUGUUUCCAAUACUAGGGGAAAAUGGAGUCAAAACUUACUGUAAAUUGUUUGACUAAACAUUAGUAAGGGAAAAAUGUAAAUAUUUAACAGCUCAGAAAGCAAUCUAUAUCAGAUCUAAUGAGAAAUGGGUUUUGUGUUUCUGAAUCAGCUUUAAACAUUUCAGAUGAACAAGAUUAUGUUGCUCACUGAUCAGUUAAUUAUGGAGUAUAACCAAGAAGAUGUCAGAUAUAUGGAUGAUCCUGACAUGUUUUCAAUUUCUCAAAUAUAUGACUAUAAUCUCUACAAGGAUCUUUGGAUAAGUAAAAAUAUUCUAUAAGGUUUAGAGAACUGCCUAAAUUUAUAAAUUAUCUAAAUUUGUUUCAGUUUAGGAGAUAGAGACUAAGACUGUCACUGAAUGUGAACUGGAUAAUAUCCAUGCCAUGACUUGGAAGGAAGACAAUAGUCUGCAGUCAUGGAAUGAUUGGUAGUGAGUGAAGUACAUUCUCCAACAAAAAUCUUUCAGUAGAAAUUGCUUGUUGCAUCUUGGCAAGGUUACUGCUCUGGGAAAAGUGAAGAAAACAUGUGGCAUGUAUAAAAGUAUACAUUGUGCAGAACCAGCAGUUGGAAAGAUAGUUUGCUUCUCUCACACGGAUCCUAAAACCAAUGAAAUACGUCGAUGAGGUUCAAAACCAGGACAUUUAUGAGAGUAAGCUUAAGCUAUAAUAAUAAUAAUAAUAAUAAUAAUAAUAAUAAUAAUAAUAAUAAUAAUAAUAAUUGGAACACAACACACCAGACAUCACAGUCGUGGAAAAGAAAAAGGUUUGGAUCACUGAUGUCACCAUCCCAGGUGACAGUCGCAUUGACGAAAAACAACAGGAAAAACUUAGCUGCUAUCAGGACUUCAAGAUUGAACUUCAAAGGCUCUGGCAGAAACCAGUGCAGGUGAUCCCGGUGGUGAUUGGCACAUUGGGUGCCGUGCCAAAAGAUUUCAGCCGGCAUUUGGAAACAAUAGACAUUGACAAAAUUACGAUCUGCCAACUGCAAAUGGCCACCCUACUGGGAUCUGUGUGCAUCAUCCAAAAAUACAUCACACAGUCCUAAACGCUUGGGAAGUGUUCGACUUGUGAUUUUGUGAUAUGAAAUCCAGCAUAUCUAUCUUGUUUGCUGUGUCAUACAACGUCGUCGUGUCAAUAAUAAUAAUAAUAAUAAUAAUAAUAAUAAUAAUAAUGGCUUUAUUUUUCUAUCACGCCACCAUCUCCCUGUAGGGACUUGGGGCGGCUAACACAGAGUGAAGCCUGAGAACAACAGAACAUAGUAAAACAGAUAAAAAUCAUAUUCAAUAAGUAAAACACAGUAAAAUCAAGCAUGAAUACAAAUGCAAUACAAUAACGAUAGAAACCAAUUUAAAACAUGUAAUGAAGAGAUAAAAGGCCACCAAUUUGGAGAAGGGGUAACAUGAGAGGGCAAAGAAACUAAAGUGCAAUAGUGAAUUAUAUUAUAAGGUGCGUUUGGGGUGAGGAAGACAAGGUGCAAACAUUUUCAGCAUAGGAGCAAGACAGGACAGCCAGUUAAAUCUAGGAGAGGGUGAAGUGCAAGUUGUAAAGCAUUCAUGUAGGUAAGAUUUUGUCAGUAAGCUAUCAUACCCUGUACAUAACAUGAGAAAAUAUAACUCAUCGGAAAACAUAAUACUGAAAAAGGUUGAAAACUGUGUGGAAAAGGGAAGAAAUUACUAGAGAUGGAACGAUUCAAUAAAAAAGCCAAUUCUCAAGAGUUUACAAGAACCCAGCAAGGCGUUUAAAUAGGAUCUUUUGGCAGCCCGUCAUUCAUAAACAACAUGUAACUAUAAGAAGUCUACCAAUGGCUAAUGAAGGAAAUAUCCCACCUUCAGUGUUUCUGAACUCUAAUUGCUAGAGAAUGCAACCAGGAAAGUUACAUACUGUACUUAUUUCCUGCUUGUAGACUUUUCAUAGACAUCUGAUUCUUCACAGUAGGAACUUGAAUGCUAGAUGAAAUUGGUCUUAAUUAGCAUGCCUUUUCUUAUAUUCUCUUAUAUUCUCUUGAAUCACAUGUUCCCACCACCAGUUAUUCACAGAGGAAUUUCAAGUUAUCUUUUUUUACAGAAAGGAAAAUAUGAUGGUAACUGAAAUGUGAAACAUCUUUGUGUGCAAAUAUAAUUUUUUUUGAGUUUUCAAACUUUAUUGAAUAAAAAAACAUGUUCAACAGAAAAUAUGUUAACAUUUGGAUUAAGAGACGUUUUUCAUAUUAAUAUUGUCAUUCCCUUUAUAUAGCAAACAAAACAAAAGUAAGUUAUAGUUUCCACUUGGAAAUAUUAUGACCCGUUAGAUAUAUCUGUGUAAAUUCAGAAAAGACUAAUACUGUGGUAAAAAAUGGAAAAUUGUAAGAAAUGUUGUGACAAAAUAAUUUGACUGACAAAAUACCCUGGGGAAGUCAUCUGUACUAACCAAUGCAGAUGCUCCAAUUGUAAUGAAAAAUAGUCCUGUGCCCUGGAAAUCUUUUAAUUUAGGAAAAAGAGCUAUCAGAAAUUAGGGAAGACUGAUCUACAUCUAUCUGUGUAUUAUUCAUAUCUAUUUAUAUUGUUUUAUUCUCUCCCUUUAGGAAACAAAUAUUGAUGGCCUGACAUACAAUCGUUGGUUGGUUACCAAGCAACAUUACAAUCUGGGAGACACUUUUAUUAGCUACUACUGGAAAUGAAGGCAAACACGAUGUAUGCCAUGGGAUUCUGCAUCAUAAGAGAAUUUAGGGGAUGGAGCUGGAUUCCCUUUGAACUGUUCCAAAUGAAUGGCCAAUUAUGGCAUUGGGAAUCAGCAAUUGGGACCCAAGGCAGCUUGGACCUUAAUAUUCCAACCAUCAGGUUCUGUGUGGAUAGAUGUUAGCCACCUUGAGUCACCAUGGGGAGAAAAGCGGGGUAUAAAUGAAGAAGAAGAAGACCACCUGGCUAUGGCUCACGAAUGGGACACUGAAGAAGGAGACAGAAGGCCUGAUCCUUGCAGCCCAGGAGCAAGCCAUCAGAACAAAUGCAAUUAACGCCAAGAUCGAAAAAUCAGCUGAUGACCCAAAAUGUAGACUGUGCAAGGAAACCGACAAAACCAUUGAUCAUAUCCUCAGCUGCUGUAAGAAAAUCGCACAGACAGACUAUAAACAGAGGCACAACUAUGUGGCCCAAAUGAUUCAUUGGAACUUAUGCCUCAAGUACCACCUCCCAGCAGUAAAGAACUGGUGGGAUCACAAACCUGCAAAAGUAUUGGAAAAUGAGCACACAAAGAUACUGUGGGACUUCUGAAUCCAGACUGACACACCAGACAUCACAGUUGUGGAAAAGAAAAAGGUUUGGAUCAUUGAUGUUGCCAUCCCAAGUGACAGUUGCAUUGACAAAAAACAACAGGAAAAACUCAGCCGCUAUCAGGACCUCAAGAUUGAACUGCAAAGACUCUGGCAGAAACCAGUGCAGGUGGUCCCGGUGGUGAUGGGCACAUUGGGUGCCGUGCCAAAAGAUCUCAGCCGGCAUUUGGAAACAAUAUUGACAAAAUUAAAAUCUGCCAACUGCAAAAGGCUACCCUGCUGGGAUCUGUGUGCAUCAUCCGAAAAUACAUCAUAUAGUCCUAGACACUUGGGAAGUAUUCGACUUGUGAUUUUGUGAUACGAAAUCCAGUAUAUCUAUCUUGUUUGCUGUGUCAUAAAACAAAAUAAUAAUGUAAUAAUAAUUAAUAUGUGUCCAGAUGAAACAACAAACCAGAUUUAAAGAAAUGAAAGCAAAAGAUUCCUUCUGUCAGUGAAGAACGAGGUGAGACAUUCCAUGUACCCAAUGAUAAGUAUGUCUUCUUCCUGCUUUGUUACACAUCAUAUUAAACUUAUAGGUAUUAUGUAUAAAGACAGAUUAUGCCUUUUAAGUACCACUUUAAGAAGGACACUGUAUAUCCAUUUUACUACAAUCAGCCAGGGAUCAUCAUUUAUUGCAGUUUAGGCAGCAGUUCUAUACACAUACUUGAGAUUAAGUUUAAUUGUACACAGUGUAACGUAUUUUUGGGUACACAGAUUUAGGAUUGCACCUCUGCCCCCCAGUUCUAUCAUUCAGAGUAGAAUAUAGUGUAACUCAAGGGUGGGGAAUCUAUUGUCCAUGUGCAACAUGUCAUGUGGUCCCUGAAACCUCAGAGAACGCUCAAUGAAAUUCAAGUCAUAGGGAGCAUAGGCAAAUGUAAUUGAGGCUCCCUACUAUCAUUCUAAAGCAAGUAGCAGCAACACAAAUACACUUACCAUUUCUCUGCUUAAUUCUAUUUGUUAUUCGUUUCUGUUUGCCUUCUCCCCACUUCCUUGGUUUUUCCUUAAGCAAUUUGCUUUCUCUUCCUUCCUAGAGCCCCUUUACACUGCGCAACUAUAGUACUACAAUUUUUCCACUUUAACUGCAAUAGUUAAAGUGGAAAAAAGUUUAGUGAUGCACAACAAUUCUCUGGGCUGAGAAUUCUAAGAACCCUCCUUCAAAUGCAGAUCCCAGGAUUCCACAGAAUGGACACAUGACAAUUGAAGUAGAAUCCUAGUGCUGUACCCAAGUAGUGUGUAAGUCUCUCUUAUCUCCCAGCCAAUUCUCUUCCCCCUGCUCCUGUACACUUCCUGUUCUCUGCUUCUGGUCCUACAUAUCCAUGGAUUCAAUCACAUACAGCUGAAAAAUAUAUAUUUUUUUAAAUUACAAAAAGGCAAACCUUGAUUUUUCCCAUUUUUAUAAAGGAAAUCAUUUUAAUACAUCACUUUAUAUAAAGGAACUUGAGCAUCCAUCAAUUUUGAAAUCCACACAGGGGUCCUCAAAGUAAACCACAGUGGAUAAACUCUGUACUUCCCUUUCUUUUUGUUUGCCUGUAAAUACAUUCUGCAAGAAUCCCUUUCUGCAAGUUCCACCUUCACUCUACCUGCUUUCCUCUGCAAUUUCUGCUUCUCUACAAAAAGGAACUGAAUCCAUUCUAACUACAGCAGUGGUUCCCAACCUGUGGUCUGUGGACCACCAGUGGUCCGCAAGAACUAAAAUAUGGUCCGCAGCCUCAUUGUUACUACUAUGAAUAAUAACACAGCCCAAAAAGAUUUUCUUGGUGUCUUCAUUUUUAGGCCUGUUCCUGGGAUUAUUUGGGGUGCUGAUUGAGAAAAUUGCAUUGGAUAAACCACAUCAGCUCUAGAUUAUUAGAUAUCGUUUUCUGUGGGCGAGCAGAUGGCGACUACUGGAUAGCAUAUGUUCUGCAUCAGAAACUAGAGCUGAUGUGGUCUAUUUAUUUAUUUUUAUUUAUUUAUUUGCGACAUUUAUAUCCCGCCCUUCUCACCCCGAAGGGGACUCGGGGCAGCUUACAAGCCAUAUGUACAUACAAUAUAUUAUAUUAUUCGUAUAGCACAAUAUAAGCAUUAUAUAUUACUGUAUUGUACCAUAAAUCUAAAUUGUAAUAUUAUUAGUAAUAUUGCAUAUCAUAUAAAUAUACCAUUAUAAUAAUGUAUUAUUAUUAUAUUGUAUUACAUUAUAAUAUUAUUAAUAUUAUAUGCAUAUACAAUAUAUUAUGUCUCCCAUUUGGGAGUUCAGUGGCUAUUGCCAGUCAAUCACCAGUUUAUCUAGUGUUAGCUGGUCACUAAGAGUUGUAGAAAAUAAGUCAAUGGUGAUCAUUUAUCAACACCAGGUUUUAAACAUAUUAAAAUGCAAUUUUAUGGAAUGCAAUUUUCUAUGGAAUGCAAUUUUCUCAAUCAGCACCCCAAAUAACCAAACCAAAUCCAAAGUUGACCAAAAACUGAUUCGUAACCCCUUUGGUACUAUUGUUGGAGCGUGGUCCCUGGUCAAGUGAUCCCUGGUCAAAAAAAGGUUGGGAACCACUGAACUACAGGGACACCUGAGGAUUAACAAAGAAAACAGUAAAAAGCCUCCCUGGAGGCAUGACAGCAAAUAAGGCAAUAUUCCAUUUUUCUGAUAAAAAUCAAAAUCUGAAACACUUCCAAGCAUUAUAGAUAAGGGAUAUUCAAACUGUAAUAGUCUAAAGAAAUGUUCCAAGUUUAUUCUAAAUGACAAACAAAGGAAAGGACAAAAUACUACAGCAGAAGUAAUAAAUCUAGUGAGUGAUUAAUACAAAGUUUGAACUAUAAUUAACAUGAAGAAUUAGGAAGCUGCUUGGUGAAAAGACUUGUCAGUGAUAGUUCUCAUCCUUUCCAUACUUUAUUUCUCAUAGUUUUUUUUAAAAGAUAUUCCUUUUGUCUAGAUCAUUUAUAUUCAUUUUAUAUAAAGGGAAUAAUUUUGUUACAUCAUUGUAUAUAAUGGGACUUCUGUCACAAUGAAGGCUAGAGAAGUGAUCCUUUACACACAGAAAGACAUGAAAACAACAGUUCUAUGGCAUCUCAUCUAUUCUAAAAGCCAGCUUCCAGUAUGUAGUUACAAGUUUAUGAUCUCAUGGGCCCCUUCUGCACAGCUGAAUGAAAUCCCACAUUAUCUGCUUUGAACUGGAAUAUAUGGCAGUGUGAACUCAGAUAACCCAGUUCAAAGCAGAUAUUGUGGGAUUUUCUGCCUUGAUAUUCUGGUAAAGGGCUUGAGGUUCAUAGUCAUUCUCAGGCUCUGGAUAUAGAUAAUGUACUUUGCUAUAGGAUAGACAUUAAGAAUUUGGAUUUAACUUAUCACCUAAAAAACUACCAAGCUACUUUGAUUAAAAAAUGGACUGGUCAUCCUUUAAAGACUAUUAAACUUAGACAACAGGAAAGUGUUCAUUUGAAUAUUUACAAAUAGCAAAGAGGAAUAAGAAAAUAAUUUACUAAGGACUUAUCAAAAGAGGAAGAGACUGGAAGUCAACAAUGACUCUUGUUUGAUCCAGUUUGUUUUUCCCUCCUCUUUGUGUUAUUUUUUUUCUUCCUUUCCCUCCCCCAUAUUUCCUUUUUAGAUUAUUUUCUGUAAAUGUUAUAUAAAAGCAGUUUUUAUAAAGAUGGAAAAGAAUGUACUUUGGUACCUUUGUAUUGCUUUUUCUUUUUAUGUUUUUUCUUUUCAUUUCUUUUUACCCUCCCCUAUAUGUUUUGUUGAAUAAAAAUUAUUUCAAAAAAAGAAUAUGAUUUAUUUCCUUAUAAAAUUGAUACAUGGCUGGAAGAGGAAGGAAUUGAGAGGAUGUGCCCAGUAGUAGGUGAAAUAUUGUUUUGGAUAUGCUCACAUAUUAAUAAUUUUGUAGAAUCUGUGUGUAAAGAAAGUAAACAUUUGUGAGCAAUUAAGGAAAUGCUGUCUCUGAGAAUGACAUGAUGUCCCAAAUGUACUUUUGAAAAAUGUACUUUUCAAGUUCCAACCCCCGCACUGAUUUAGUUGUAAAAAAUAUAUAUAUUAUGGUAAGAUUGCCAUCACAUUAAUAGUUUUGUACCAUUUGUUUGAAAAAGUGCCAUCACAUAAAUGAUUUUGUAGGAUUUGUAUGAAAGAGUUAUUAUACAUAUUCCAAAAAGAUAUGCUAGGCCAGUGGCAAAAAAUACACAUUUCACCUCCUUAUCUUGAUGUUAGAGUGUAUUCAAUUUUCAAAAUAUAGAGAAAAACAUUUCAUCAUUCUUGGAAUAUUACUGAAGGUCACUGUAUUACAUGUUGCAAUAACAAAGUAAUAGUUUAUUACAAUGAACCCCAACAUUCAGGAGAAUGAUGACUGCUGAUAAAUAACUGUUCUAAUACUUUUUUCUUUGUAAAAUUGAAGGCUUGACCUUUUUAUAUGUGUUUCCUGAUCUAUCAGAGCUACUCACGUAAUUGAUGUGUGUGUGCAUGUGUGUGGGGAGGGGGAGAAACUGAAUGAAAUGUCUAGCUUAAGAAACCAAAACCCUGACCUUUCUAGUUAGUACUCUUGUAUAGCAUGGCGCUCCAUGCAGUCAUGCCGGCCACAUGACCUUGGAGGUAUCUACAGACAACGCCGGCUCUUUGGCUUAGAGUUGGACAUGACUAGACUUAAUGUCAAGGGAAAACCUUUACCUUUACUUUACUAUAGCACUUAACCUGUUUCAAACCUCCCAAAAGUCUUUUUUUUUAAAGGAGUGAAUCCCUCCUUGUUCUUCUUUUGCCAGAAGAACAUUCUUGUGCCAUCAAACUUGUGCCAUCAAACUCUUAGAAACAGAAUAAGGCGAGCUUUUGAUGAUGUUGUGUGAUGUUUAUAGGUUGUUAAACCUUCUAAUGACAUGUAAUGUCUUUCAUCUUAUGAAUUGUUUGGUUUUAAAUAACCUUUAUAUUUUUAUUGAAGCCAUUUAAAAAAAAUCUGUAUUUUUUAAUAUGCUAUAAGCACUUUGCACCACUGCCCUGCCUUUUUAUUAUCUUGUUCUUAUUCAGUGGUUUUACUUAUUAUUAUAUUGUUGUAAACUAUUGUUUUGACCUGUGUAAUGUUAAAUGUAUAUGAUGUUUUAUUGUUGAAUGUAUUUUUUAAUCUGUUUAUUGUAGAAAUUUGGGCUUGGCCCGAUGUUAGCCGCCCCGGAUCCCCGCAGGGAGUUGGAGGCGGGGUAUAAAAAUAAAGUUGUUGUUGUUGUUGUUGUUGUU